RNAcentral lists this small RNA (304 nucleotides) under Histoplasma capsulatum var. duboisii H88. RNAcentral's name for it is "Histoplasma capsulatum H88 hypothetical RNA". The record is from RNAcentral. Lineage: Eukaryota; Fungi; Ascomycota; Eurotiomycetes; Onygenales; Ajellomycetaceae.
GAAAGCGGAGUGUCUGUAAGAGCCAUCCCGACGCCGUCUCGGCUCGCUAGUGAGGGCGCGUGGGUCGCGGCAAGGUUGCGGUGGUGGUGGUGGUGGUGGUGAUGGUGAUGCUCAGGCGCCAGGGCUCUCCCGACGACAGUCUUGGACGGCGGCAUCAAGCUCGGAUCAGGACUGUGAGGCAUAUUGCUAUGGCUGUGGUGCCCGUUAACAGCGAGGUGGUGAACCAUCUGUAAGCUUGUCUGUGCUGUUGUCCAGAAGACGUUGGGGAUAGGAAUAAAAAGGCGGACUUGGCGAUGAUGACUCG